Molecule: unclassified non-coding RNA, 292 nt
Organism: Fukomys damarensis (Damara mole-rat)
Lineage: Eukaryota; Metazoa; Chordata; Mammalia; Rodentia; Bathyergidae
Gene: 7SK
Rfam family: 7SK RNA
About the family: 7SK was discovered as an abundant small nuclear RNA in the mid-70s but a possible function has only recently been suggested. Two independent studies have found that 7SK RNA binds the CDK9/cyclin T complex (known as elongation factor P-TEFb). P-TEFb activates transcription by phosphorylating the C-terminal domain of RNA polymerase II.
Source: Ensembl
GGAUGUGAGGGCAGAGUGGCUGCAGUAUCUGUCGCCCCAUUGACCGCCAGGGCUGGCUCGGCUGGUCUGGCUGCCCAGGCGGGUGUCCCCUUCCCCCCUCGCCUCCCUCCGGAAGCUGUGAGCUCGGCUGACUGCAGAGGAAGAUGGGGGCACAGGAAUAGCUGCGCUGCCCUACUCCAGCCUCCAAACGAGCUCUCAAAAGGUGGAAAGGGCUGGGGAGCAGGGCGGUGCAAAGGCCCUGGGUUCUAUCUGCAGUACCGCAAAUAAAACGAAAUGAAUUUUAAAAUAAAAU